This 1024-nucleotide ribosomal RNA is filed under the name Agaricaceae sp. Its description in RNAcentral is "partial 18S ribosomal RNA". The stretch from base 736 to 1024 matches the Rfam family "Eukaryotic large subunit ribosomal RNA", at positions 1 to 285 of the family's 3401-position model. Lineage: Eukaryota; Fungi; Basidiomycota; Agaricomycetes; Agaricales; Agaricaceae. The record is from RNAcentral.
UCCCUGCCCUUUGUACACACCGCCCGUCGCUACUACCGAUUGAAUGGCUUAGUGAGGUCUUCGGAUCGGCUUUGGGGAGCCGGCAACGGCACCUCAUUGCUGAGAAGUUGAUCAAACUUGGUCAUUUAGAGGAAGUAAAAGUCGUAACAAGGUUUCCGUAGGUGAACCUGCGGAAGGAUCAUUAACGAAUCAAACAAGUUCAUCUUGUUCUGAUCCUGUGCACCUUAUGUAGUCCCAAAGCCUUCACGGGCGGCGGUUGACUACGUCUACCUCACACCUUAAAGUAUGUUAACGAAUGUAAUCAUGGUCUUGACAGACCCUAAAAAGUUAAUACAACUUUCGACAACGGAUCUCUUGGCUCUCGCAUCGAUGAAGAACGCAGCGAAAUGCGAUAAGUAAUGUGAAUUGCAGAAUUCAGUGAAUCAUCGAAUCUUUGAACGCACCUUGCGCCCUUUGGUAUUCCGAGGGGCAUGCCUGUUUGAGUGUCAUUAAAUACCAUCAACCCUCUUUUGACUUCGGUCUCGAGAGUGGCUUGGAAGUGGAGGUCUGCUGGAGCCUAACGGAGCCAGCUCCUCUUAAAUGUAUUAGCGGAUUUCCCUUGCGGGAUCGCGUCUCCGAUGUGAUAAUUUCUACGUCGUUGACCAUCUCGGGGCUGACCUAGUCAGUUUCAAUAGGAGUCUGCUUCUAACCGUCUCUUGACCGAGACUAGCGACUUGUGCGCAUAACUUUUGACUUUGACCUCAAAUCAGGUAGGACUACCCGCUGAACUUAAGCAUAUCAAUAAGCGGAGGAAAAGAAACUAACAAGGAUUCCCCUAGUAACUGCGAGUGAAGCGGGAAAAGCUCAAAUUUAAAAUCUGGCGGUCUCCGGCCGUCCGAGUUGUAAUUGAGAAGCGUUAUCCGUGCUGGACCGUGUAUAAGUCUCCUGGAAUGGAGCGUCAUAGAGGGUGAGAAUCCCGUCUUUGACACGGACUACCAGUGCAUUGUGAUGCGCUCUCGACGAGUCGAGUUGUUGGGAAAUGCCA